UUGUCCCUAUUUUGCAUUCCCUGCGCCAUAGAAGUUAGUAAAUUAAAAAUUUGAUCAUUAUCAAUAGACGAACUUGAUUUUUGGGCAGGUUGUGCUUGGGGUUGAGUUGGUGCAAACGGUUUUUGAUAGAAACUCGGGGGUUGUUGCCUAAAUCCGCUUUGUUGUUGGCCUUGUUGGGGUUCUCGCCAUUUGAAAUUUGGAUGAUCACGCCAACCGGGAUUGUAAGUAUUGGAAAAGGGGUCAUUCCUUGGUUGGUAUUGGUUGUCAAAUCCCACGGCAUUGAGGGUCUCCCACCCUCCAUUUUCUAUCAACUGUGGGCACUUGU
Molecule: long non-coding RNA, 325 nt
Filed under: Malus domestica (apple)
Lineage: Eukaryota; Viridiplantae; Streptophyta; Magnoliopsida; Rosales; Rosaceae
Description: long non-coding RNA (MDOM_LNC006078)
Source: RNAcentral